RNAcentral lists this transfer RNA (70 nucleotides) under Dipodomys ordii (Ord's kangaroo rat). It matches the Rfam family "tRNA". From Rfam's summary of the family: Transfer RNA (tRNA) molecules are approximately 80 nucleotides in length. The record is from Rfam by way of RNAcentral. Lineage: Eukaryota; Metazoa; Chordata; Mammalia; Rodentia; Heteromyidae.
GGGAAAGUGGCUCAGUGGUAGAGUGCUUGCCUUGCAUACAUGAGGCCCUGAGUUCGAUUCCUCAGCACCA